This 71-nucleotide transfer RNA is filed under the name Marmota monax (woodchuck). Its description in RNAcentral is "tRNA.Lys". It matches the Rfam family "tRNA". From Rfam's summary of the family: Transfer RNA (tRNA) molecules are approximately 80 nucleotides in length. Their secondary structure includes four short double-helical elements and three loops (D, anti-codon, and T loops). Lineage: Eukaryota; Metazoa; Chordata; Mammalia; Rodentia; Sciuridae. The record is from RNAcentral.
GGGGUUGUGGCUCAGUGGUAGAGCCCUCACCUCUUAAGUGUGAAACCCUGGGUUCAAUCCUCAGCACCACA